This 330-nucleotide ribosomal RNA is filed under the name uncultured bacterium. RNAcentral describes it as "bacterial SSU rRNA". It matches the Rfam family "Bacterial small subunit ribosomal RNA", at positions 568 to 898 of the family's 1533-position model. The record is from RNAcentral.
CGCGUAGGUGGUAGUGUAAGUCUGGGGUGGAAUCCCAGGGCUUAACCCUGGAACUGCCUUGGAAACUGCAUUACUUGAGUCAGUGAGGGGAGGGUAGAAUUCCUGGUGUAGCGGCGAAAUGCGUAGAUAUCAGGAGGAAGGCCUGUGGCGAAGGCGGCCCUCUGGCGCUGGACUGACACUGAGGCGCGAAAGCGUGGGGAGCAAACAGGAUUAGAUACCCUGGUAGUCCACGCCCUAAACGGUGGGCACUAGGUGUAGGGCUCGUAAGGGUUCUGUGCCGAAGGGAAACCAUUAAGUGCCCCGCCUGGGGAGUACGGCCGCAAGGUUGAA